UUCCGGUUGAUCCUGCCGGACCUGACUGCUAUCGGAUUGAUACUAAGCCAUGUGAGUCAUUGUAGCAAUACAAGGCAGACGGCUCAGUAACGCGUAGUCAACCUACCCUAUGGACGGGAAUAACCUCGGGAAACUGAGUAUAAUGCCCGAUAGAACAUUAUGCCUGGAAUGGGUUUAUGUUCCAAAUGAUUUAUCGCCGUAGGAUGGGACUGCGGCCUAUCAGUUUGUUGGUGAGGUAAUGGCCCACCAAGACUAUUACAGGUACGGGCUCUGAGAGGAGUGGCCCGGAGAUGGGUACUGAGACACGGACCCAGGCCCUAUGGGGCGCAGCAGGCGAGAAAACUUUGCAAUGUGCGAAAGCACGACAAGGUUAAUCCGAGUGGUUUCUGCUAAAGGAACCUUUUGUUAGUCCUAGAAACACUAACGAAUAAGGGGUGGGCAAGUUCUGGUGUCAGCCGCCGCGGUAAAACCAGCACCUCAAGUGGUCAGGAUGAUUAUUGGGCCUAAAGCAUCCGUAGCCGGCUCUGUAAGUUUUCGGUUAAAUCUGUACGCUCAACGUACAGGCUGCUGGGAAUACUGCAGGGCUAGGGAGUGGGAGAGGUAGACGGUACUCGGGAGGAAGUGGUAAAAUGCUUUGAUCUCUCGAUGACCACCUGUGGCGAAGGCGGUCUACCAGAACACGUCCGACGGUGAGGGAUGAAAGCUGGGGGAGCAAACCGGAUUAGAUACCCGGGUAGUCCCAGCUGUAAACUAUGCAAACUCAGUGAUGCGUUGGCUUAUGGCCAGCGCAGUGUUGCAGGGAAGCCGUUAAGUCUGCCGCCUGGGAAGUACGUACGCAAGUAUGAAACUUAAAGGAAUUGGCGGGGGAGCAC
Molecule: ribosomal RNA, 872 nt
Filed under: uncultured crenarchaeote
Lineage: Archaea; Thermoproteati; Thermoproteota
Description: bacterial SSU rRNA
Rfam family: Archaeal small subunit ribosomal RNA
Source: RNAcentral